GUUGCUGAUUCGGUGGUUCCAUUCGAAACUGCUUUGUAAGCAGGAGGUAGCGAGUUCGAGUCUCGCAAGCUCCACCA
This 77-nucleotide transfer RNA is filed under the name Dehalococcoidia bacterium. Its description in RNAcentral is "tRNA-Thr". The record is from RNAcentral. Lineage: Bacteria; Bacillati; Chloroflexota; Dehalococcoidia.